UAGGGAAUCUUCCGCAAUGGACGCAAGUCUGACGGAGCAACGCCGCGUGAGUGAAGAAGGAUUUCGGUUCGUAAAACUCUGUUGUUAGAGAAGAACAGCGCAUAGAGUAACUGUUAUGCGUGUGACGGUAUCUAACCAGAAAGCCACGGCUAACUACGUGCCAGCAGCCGCGGUAAUACGUAGGUGGCAAGCGUUGUCCGGAUUUAUUGGGCGUAAAGCGAGCGCAGGCGGUCAAUUAAGUCUGAUGUGAAAGCCCCCGGCUCAACCGGGGAGGGUCAUUGGAAACUGGGUGAAUUGAGUGCAGAAGAGGAGAGUGGAAUUCCAUGUGUAGCGGUGAAGUGCGUAGAUAUAUGGAGGAACACCAGUGGCGAAGGCGACUCUCUGGUCUGUAACUGACGCUGAGGCUCGAAAGCGUGGGUAGCAAACAGG
RNAcentral lists this ribosomal RNA (429 nucleotides) under Bacteroidota bacterium. RNAcentral's name for it is "Bacteroidetes bacterium partial 16S ribosomal RNA". It matches the Rfam family "Bacterial small subunit ribosomal RNA", at positions 355 to 776 of the family's 1533-position model. Lineage: Bacteria; Pseudomonadati; Bacteroidota. The record is from RNAcentral.